Molecule: ribosomal RNA, 1504 nt
Filed under: Klebsiella pneumoniae
Lineage: Bacteria; Pseudomonadati; Pseudomonadota; Gammaproteobacteria; Enterobacterales; Enterobacteriaceae
Description: bacterial SSU rRNA
Rfam family: Bacterial small subunit ribosomal RNA
Source: RNAcentral
AGAGUUUGAUCAUGGCUCAGAUUGAACGCUGGCGGCAGGCCUAACACAUGCAAGUCGAGCGGUAGCACAGAGAGCUUGCUCUCGGGUGACGAGCGGCGGACGGGUGAGUAAUGUCUGGGAAACUGCCUGAUGGAGGGGGAUAACUACUGGAAACGGUAGCUAAUACCGCAUAAUGUCGCAAGACCAAAGUGGGGGACCUUCGGGCCUCAUGCCAUCAGAUGUGCCCAGAUGGGAUUAGCUAGUAGGUGGGGUAACGGCUCACCUAGGCGACGAUCCCUAGCUGGUCUGAGAGGAUGACCAGCCACACUGGAACUGAGACACGGUCCAGACUCCUACGGGAGGCAGCAGUGGGGAAUAUUGCACAAUGGGCGCAAGCCUGAUGCAGCCAUGCCGCGUGUGUGAAGAAGGCCUUCGGGUUGUAAAGCACUUUCAGCGGGGAGGAAGGCGNCGAUUGACGUUACCCGCAGAAGAAGCACCGGCUAACUCCGUGCCAGCAGCCGCGGUAAUACGGAGGGUGCAAGCGUUAAUCGGAAUUACUGGGCGUAAAGCGCACGCAGGCGGUCUGUCAAGUCGGAUGUGAAAUCCCCGGGCUCAACCUGGGAACUGCAUUCGAAACUGGCAGGCUAGAGUCUUGUAGAGGGGGGUAGAAUUCCAGGUGUAGCGGUGAAAUGCGUAGAGAUCUGGAGGAAUACCGGUGGCGAAGGCGGCCCCCUGGACAAAGACUGACGCUCAGGUGCGAAAGCGUGGGGAGCAAACAGGAUUAGAUACCCUGGUAGUCCACGCCGUAAACGAUGUCGAUUUGGAGGUUGUGCCCUUGAGGCGUGGCUUCCGGAGCUAACGCGUUAAAUCGACCGCCUGGGGAGUACGGCCGCAAGGUUAAAACUCAAAUGAAUUGACGGGGGCCCGCACAAGCGGUGGAGCAUGUGGUUUAAUUCGAUGCAACGCGAAGAACCUUACCUGGUCUUGACAUCCACAGAACUUUCCAGAGAUGGAUNUUGGUGCCUUCGGGAACUGUGAGACAGGUGCUGCAUGGCUGUCGUCAGCUCGUGUUGUGAAAUGUUGGGUUAAGUCCCGCAACGAGCGCAACCCUUAUCCUUUGUUGCCAGCGGUCCGGCCGGGAACUCAAAGGAGACUGCCAGUGAUAAACUGGAGGAAGGUGGGGAUGACGUCAAGUCAUCAUGGCCCUUACGACCAGGGCUACACACGUGCUACAAUGGCAUAUACAAAGAGAAGCGACCUCGCGAGAGCAAGCGGACCUCAUAAAGUAUGUCGUAGUCCGGAUUGGAGUCUGCAACUCGACUCCAUGAAGUCGGAAUCGCUAGUAAUCGUAGAUCAGAAUGCUACGGUGAAUACGUUCCCGGGCCUUGUACACACCGCCCGUCACACCAUGGGAGUGGGUUGCAAAAGAAGUAGGUAGCUUAACCUUCGGGAGGGCGCUUACCACUUUGUGAUUCAUGACUGGGGUGAAGUCGUAACAAGGUAACCGUAGGGGAACCUGCGGUUG